GUGCUCGCUUUGGCAGCAUAUAUACUAAAAUUGGAACGAUACAGAGAAGAUUAGCAUGGCCCCUGCACAAGGAUGACAUAAAAUUAGUGAAGUGUUCCAUAAUUUU
Small nuclear RNA from Equus caballus (horse), 106 nucleotides. The record is from Ensembl. Lineage: Eukaryota; Metazoa; Chordata; Mammalia; Perissodactyla; Equidae.